This 26-nucleotide non-coding RNA is filed under the name Rattus norvegicus (Norway rat). The record is from RNAcentral. Lineage: Eukaryota; Metazoa; Chordata; Mammalia; Rodentia; Muridae.
CUUAACUCAUAACCAAAAUGGACUGC